UACGUAGGGGGCAAGCGUUGUCCGGAAUCAUUGGGCGUAAAGCGCGUGUAGGCGGUCCGGUAAGUCCGCUGUGAAAGUCGGGGGCUCAACCCUCGGAUGCCGGUGGAUACUGUCGGGCUUGAGUACGGAAGAGGCGAGUGGAAUUCCCAGUGUAGAGGUGAAAUUCGUAGAUAUCAGGAGGAACACCUGUGGUGUAGACAGCUUACUGGACCACGACUGACGCUGAGACACGAAAGCGUGGGUAGCAAACAGG
This 253-nucleotide ribosomal RNA is filed under the name uncultured bacterium. RNAcentral's name for it is "partial 16S ribosomal RNA". It matches the Rfam family "Bacterial small subunit ribosomal RNA", at positions 524 to 776 of the family's 1533-position model. The record is from RNAcentral.